RNAcentral lists this ribosomal RNA (803 nucleotides) under uncultured Actinomycetes bacterium. RNAcentral's name for it is "bacterial SSU rRNA". It matches the Rfam family "Bacterial small subunit ribosomal RNA", at positions 70 to 850 of the family's 1533-position model. Lineage: Bacteria; Bacillati; Actinomycetota; Actinomycetes. The record is from RNAcentral.
AAAGUUCCCUUCGGGGAGCGAGUAGAGUGGCGCACGGGUGAGUAACACGUAGGUAAUCUACCUUCGGAUUGGGAAUAACAACCGGAAACGGUUGCUAAUACCGAAUAAUGCAGCGGCACCUAAUGGUGACAGUUGUUAAAGCGGGGGAUCGCAAGACCUCGCGUCUGAAGAGGAGCCUGCGGCGGAUUAGCUAGUUGGUAAGGUAAUGGCUUACCAAGGCGAUGAUCCGUAGCCGGCCUGAGAGGGCGGUCGGCCACACUGACACUGACAUACGGGUCAGACUCCUACGGGAGGCAGCAGUCGGGAAUUUUGGGCAAUGGGCGAAAGCCUGACCCAGCAACGCCGCGUGAAGGAUGAAAUCCUUCGGGAUGUAAACUUCGCAAGAACGGGAAGAAUAAGUGAGAGCUAACAUCUCUUACGAUGACGGUACUGUUUGUAAGCUCCGGCUAACUCCGUGCCAGCAGCCGCGGUAAUACGGGGGGAGCAAGCGUUGUUCGGAUUUACUGGGCGUAAAGGGCGCGUAGGCGGCCACCGCAAGUCGAUUGUGAAAUCUCCGGGCUUAACCCGGAAAGGUCAACCGAUACUGCGGGGCUAGAGUGCAGAAGGGGCAACUGGAAUUCUCGGUGUAGCGGUGAAAUGCGUAGAUAUCGAGAGGAACACCUGCGGCGAAGGCGGGUUGCUGGGCUGACACUGACGCUGAUGUGCGAAAGCUAGGGGAGCGAACGGGAUUAGAUACCCCGGUAGUCCUAGCCUUAAACGAUGAAUGCUUGGUGUCUGGGGUUUUAUAGUCCCCGGGUGCCGUC